RNAcentral lists this non-coding RNA (18 nucleotides) under Arabidopsis thaliana (thale cress). The record is from RNAcentral. Lineage: Eukaryota; Viridiplantae; Streptophyta; Magnoliopsida; Brassicales; Brassicaceae.
CGACUUGAGUUUCCCUUA